AACGAACGCUGGCGGCAUGCCUAACACAUGCAAGUCGAACGAGACCUUCGGGUCUAGUGGCGCACGGGUGCGUAACGCGUGGGAAUCUGCCCUUGGUUCGGAAUAACAGUUAGAAAUGACUGCUAAUACCGGAUAAUGUCUUCGGACCAAAGAUUUAUCGCCCAGGGAUGAGCCCGCGUAGGAUUAGCUAGUUGGUGAGGUAAAGGCUCGACCAAGGCGACGAUCCUUAGCUGGUCUGAGAGGAUGAUCAGCCACACUGGGACUGAGACACGGCCCAGACUCCUACGGGAGGCA
This 294-nucleotide ribosomal RNA is filed under the name uncultured bacterium. RNAcentral's name for it is "partial 16S ribosomal RNA". It matches the Rfam family "Bacterial small subunit ribosomal RNA", at positions 29 to 350 of the family's 1533-position model. The record is from RNAcentral.